RNAcentral lists this ribosomal RNA (239 nucleotides) under uncultured bacterium. RNAcentral describes it as "partial 16S ribosomal RNA". It matches the Rfam family "Bacterial small subunit ribosomal RNA", at positions 116 to 354 of the family's 1533-position model. The record is from RNAcentral.
CGUGAGGAACCUGCCUUUCAGAGGGGGGACAACAGUUGGAAACGACUGCUAAUACCGCAUAACAUAUGUUUGUCGCAUGGCAGAUAUAUCAAAGAUUUAUCGCUGAGAGAUGGCCUCGCGUCUGAUUAGCUAGUUGGCAGGGUAACGGCCUACCAAGGCGACGAUCAGUAGCCGGACUGAGAGGUUGGCCGGCCACAUUGGGACUGAGAUACGGCCCAGACUCCUACGGAAGGCAGCAG